This 497-nucleotide ribosomal RNA is filed under the name uncultured bacterium. Its description in RNAcentral is "partial 16S ribosomal RNA". It matches the Rfam family "Bacterial small subunit ribosomal RNA", at positions 28 to 507 of the family's 1533-position model. The record is from RNAcentral.
GAUGAACGCUGGCGGCGUGCCCAAUACAUGCAAGUCGAGCGAACAGACGAGGAGCUUGCUCCUCUGACGUUAGCGGCGGACGGGUGAGUAACACGUGGAUAACCUACCUAUAAGACUGGGAUAACUUCGGGAAACCGGAGCUAAUACCGGAUAAUAUAUUGAACCGCAUGGUUCAAUAGUUAAAGACGGUUUUGCUGUCACUUAUAGAUGGAUCCGCGCCGCAUUAGCUAGUUGGUAAGGUAACGGCUUACCAAGGCGACGAUGCGUAGCCGACCUGAGAGGGUGAUCAGCCACACUGGAACUGAGACACGGUCCAGACUCCUACGGGAGGCAGCAGUAGGGAAUCUUCCGCAAUGGGCGAAAGCUUGACGGAGCAACGCCGCGUGAGUGAUGAAGGUCUUCGGAUCGUAAAACUCUGUUAUUAGGGAAGAACAAAUGUGUAAGUAACUAUGCACGUCUUGACGGUACCUAAUCAGAAAGCCACGGCUAACUACGUG